ACAAACUUGGUCAUUUAGAGGAAGUAAAAGUCGUAACAAGGUCUCCGUUGGUGAACCAGCGGAGGGAUCAUUACCGAGUUUACAACUCCCAAACCCAAUGUGAACGUUACCAAACUGUUGCCUCGGCGGGAUCUCUGCCCCGGGCGCGUCGCAGCCCCGGACCAAGGCGCCCGCCGGAGGACCAACCCCAAAACUCUUGUUGUAUAACCCCCUCGCGGGUUCUUGUAUACUCUGAGCCUUCUCGGGCGCCCCUCGUGGGCGUUUUCGAAAAUGAAUCAAAACUUUCAACAACGGAUCUCUUGGUUCUGGCAUCGAUGAAGAACGCAGC
Molecule: unclassified non-coding RNA, 328 nt
Filed under: uncultured fungus
Lineage: Eukaryota; Fungi
Description: partial contains small subunit ribosomal RNA, internal transcribed spacer 1, and 5.8S ribosomal RNA
Rfam family: Eukaryotic small subunit ribosomal RNA (bases 1-73)
Source: RNAcentral